This 492-nucleotide ribosomal RNA is filed under the name uncultured bacterium. RNAcentral describes it as "partial 16S ribosomal RNA". It matches the Rfam family "Bacterial small subunit ribosomal RNA", at positions 29 to 507 of the family's 1533-position model. The record is from RNAcentral.
AGUGAACGCUGGCGGUAGGCCUAACACAUGUAAGUCGAACGGCAGCACAGUAAGAGCUUGCUCUUACGGGUGGCGAGUGGCGGACGGGUGAGGAAUACAUCGGAAUCUACUUUUUCGUGGGGGAUAACGUAGGGAAACUUACGCUAAUACCGCAUACGACCUACGGGUGAAAGCAGGGGAUCUUCGGACCUUGCGCGAUUGAAUGAGCCGAUGUCGGAUUAGCUAGUUGGCGGGGUAAGGGCCCACCAAGGCGACGAUCCGUAGCUGGUCUGAGAGGAUGAUCAGCCACACUGGAACUGAGACACGGUCCAGACUCCUACGGGAGGCAGCAGUGGGGAAUAUUGGACAAUGGGCGCAAGCCUGAUCCAGCCAUACCGCGUGGGUGAAGAAGGCCUUCGGGUUGGAAAGCCCUUUUGUUGGGAAAGAAAAGCAGCAGGUUAAUACCCCGCUGUUCUGACGGUACCCAAAGAAUAAGCACCGGCUAACUUCGUG